RNAcentral lists this ribosomal RNA (253 nucleotides) under uncultured bacterium. RNAcentral's name for it is "partial 16S ribosomal RNA". It matches the Rfam family "Bacterial small subunit ribosomal RNA", at positions 524 to 776 of the family's 1533-position model. The record is from RNAcentral.
UACGUAGGGUGCAAGCGUUGUCCGGAAUUAUUGGGCGUAAAGCGCGCGCAGGCGGUCCUUUAAGUCUGAUGUGAAAGCCCACGGCUCAACCGUGGAGGGUCAUUGGAAACUGGAGGACUUGAGUACAGAAGAGGAGAGUGGAAUUCCACGUGUAGCGGUGAAAUGCGCAGAUAUCGGGAAGAACACCUAUGGCGAAGGCAGCUCUCUGGGACGGUACUGACGCUGAGACGCGAAAGCGUGGGGAGCGAACAGG